GAUGAACGCUGGCGGCGUGCCUAAUACAUGCAAGUCGAGCGAACAGACGAGGAGCUUGCUCCUCUGACGUUAGCGGCGGACGGGUGAGUAACACGUGGAUAACCUACCUAUAAGACUGGGAUAACUUCGGGAAACCGGAGCUAAUACCGGAUAACAUGUUGAACCGCAUGGUUCAACAGUGAAAGACGGUCUUGCUGUUACUUAUAGAUGGAUCCGCGCCGCAUUAGCUAGUUGGUAAGGUAACGGCUUACCAAGGCAACGAUGAGUAGCCGACCUGAGAGGGUGAUCGACCACACUGGAACUGAGACACGGUCCAGACUCCUACGGGAGGCAGCAGUAGGGAAUCUUCCGCAAUGGGCGAAAGCCUGACGGAGCAACGCCGCGUGAGUGAAGAAGGUCUUCGGAUCGUAAAGCUCUGUUAUUAGGGAAGAACAAAUGUGUAAGUAACUAUGCACGUCUUGACGGUACCUAAUCAGAAAGCCACGGCUAACUACGUG
Molecule: ribosomal RNA, 497 nt
Filed under: uncultured bacterium
Lineage: Bacteria
Description: partial 16S ribosomal RNA
Rfam family: Bacterial small subunit ribosomal RNA
Source: RNAcentral